This is a long non-coding RNA of Triticum aestivum (bread wheat), 2503 nucleotides long. RefSeq lists it as uncharacterized. The transcript is spliced from 4 exons. The record is from RefSeq and is a predicted model, not a curated record. NCBI's taxonomy places the organism in Eukaryota, Viridiplantae, Streptophyta, Magnoliopsida, Poales, Poaceae.
CCUCCCUCCUCCCCCCUUCCCCCCUCCCCCCGGGCUGCGACUGGGCGACCACAACCUCCAUCGCCGGCGACCAGGCGCUCCCUCGCCGGCCGCCAUGGCUGCCUGCCGCCAUGGCUGGAUGCAGCCCGCGUAUACUAGUGUUGCAACCGUCACCUAGAACAGCUUCAACAGCUGUUGAAAAAAGCUUCAACCAUAGACAGAAAAGCUUCAAUGAAACUGCAUAAUAAGGGGAAGCUGCAACCGUAGUUGGUUUUUGUUACUACAGGCGAAGUUUUUUGCUACAUCCAUCAGGCGGAGCUGCGACCUCACGACGAUGACAACGACGAUUUUUUGUUGCAAUCGUAGUAGAAUUUUGCUACCACCGCUGAAGUUUUUGCUACAUCCAUGUAAGGCAGAGUUGCGACCUCGCGAAAGACGGCGACGAUGUUUGAUUUUUGCUGCAACCAUAGUAGAUUUUUUGCUUCUAUCGGUGAAGCUUUUUGCUACAUCCACGUAAGGCGGAGUCGCGACCUCGCGAAAGACGGCGACGGUGUUUGAUUUUUGCUGCAACCAUAGUAGAUUUUUGCUUCUAUCGGUGAAGCUUUUUGCUACAUCCAUGUAAGGCGGAGUCGCGACCUCGCGAAAGACGGCGACGGUGUUUGAUUUUUGCUGCAACCGUAGUUUACUUUCGCUACUACGGGUGAAGUUUUUUGCUACAUCCAUUCAAAACGGUGUUGAUUGACUGACGGUCGCCGUUGAUAUAAUUUCCUACGGCGAGCAUCAAUGGCGAGGGGCGGCGGCCGAGCCACAACCGUCGCCGUCAAGAGCUGCAACGCAGGUGGAGUUGUUGCAUGGGAACUGGCGACGUGGACAGCUGGCGAGGGCGGGGACUGGCGACGAGGACGGGCGGCGAGGGCAGGGAUCGGCGACGAGGACGGGCGGCGAGGGUGGGGGUCCGGCGGCGACGAGGAAGACCGGCGAGGGUGGGGACCGGCGACCACCGGAGGGGACAGGAGGCGCGGCGUCGCGCUCCCCCAAACGGGAUCCAACUGACUGCCCGAGGAAGAAGAGAGCUUGGGGCGAUUCGUUUUUUUUUUGCUUGGGAUCCAGCGGCUGCGUGGCUCAAAUCGAACAGUCCGGGCUGGACCGGCCGAACGAUUCGGCCGGCGCACCGGCGCCUAUCGGUGCCCUAAUCAAUAAGAUCUCCGUCUGAUAUAGUAGCUUAUGAGCACACGUACCCCGCAGCAUCAAACAAAUACUCGGUUUCAGAGUUAAUUUCUGUAAGUCUGGCUUACCUAAAUACUCAUUUGAUUCACUGUUGGGUAAUUGAAUAGGGAUAAAAAAAGUGAGGUGCAACUCAAGCGAAUAAACAGUAGAAGAAUGAAGAAGUAAGCAGGGAGUGGAUGUAGAUCCUCCAAGGGAACAUCAAGGUACUGGUUGUGCCCACCUGUUGUGGGGUUGCUUCUACCUAAACCAUGUGGAUUACUCUUCGUACAAUUUUCUUGCAGUUAGUGUCGGGAACUCUGUGUACUUGUGAAAUGCAUGCAGCAACAAGGUCUGCCAACCAUUGUCAUUGUUGCAAGAUUACUUUUUUGAAAGUUGUAAAGAGAACGAGAGAUAGAACUAAGUAAGUUGCUCUAGCUCUCACCAAGCUAUGUCAUUGAGCAGGUCACUAAGCUUUGCUAUUCGGGUGCAUAUGACACUAAUUAUCCAGUGGGUUGGGCACAACAUGGCACUCAGCAGCCCGUAGGAAAGAAAUGGUUCUCUAAGUUGGGAUGGUUUUGUGAUUAAUUGUUGGCUUGUUGCCAUCAGAUUUACUUACAUGGUCAGCUUCCAGUGUUCAGCUAUUAUAUGUAGCACCGCAGAUGCAUAUAUUACUAUUCAGUGUAUACUAAAGUUUUACUUUGCAGAAGAAAUGCAUGGCACAGAUGAUGUUACUUGCUGUUCUAGGUGUGGUGAUCUCAACAUUUUUGCUUGGCGCUGCUAUAAAGCUUACUUUUCCGUAUGAUUGGAACUGGAAAACAUCAUUCUUGUUCGGCGGACGCUCAGUGCAACCGAUCAUGUUACUAUGAUUGCUCUUCUAAAAGACCUAGGCGCAAGCAAAAAGCUCAGUACGAUAAUCGAAGGAGAAUCCUUAAUGAACGAUAGUGUUGCUCUGGGCCUUGCAUUUGGAAUCGCAUCUCUACUAUGGCUGGGCUUUAUUUUCGAUGGUACAAUCAUACAGAUUUCACUAACACUUGCAGUCAGAUAUAUGGCUUUCUUCACUGUAAGAUAAUCAGAUAACGGACAUAUCAAGGCUCUUAUAUUUCUAUUUUUAUCUCUAGAAGGACAUGAUUUUCUUAGUGUUUGGAAAUGGUUUUUAGCUUGAGUAAUAGAAUGGUUGUCAAGCAACCCUUUUUGCAACACUGGGAUGCUGUUUUAAUGGCUUGUGAUGGCAAUCCAGGGUCAUUUCUGGAUACAUUCAUGUGUGCCAAUGAGGUUUCCAUGUACUGAUGAUGUAAUAUUAGAUUUUUUAUCUUGUCAA